AAUAGAUACCCCGGUAGUCCUAGCCGUAAACGAUACUCGCUAGGUGUCGGCCACGGUGCGACCGUUGUCGGUGCCGUAGGGAAGCCGUGAAGCGAGCCACCUGGGAAGUACGGCCGCAAGGCUGAAACUUAAAGGAAUUGGCGGGGGAGCACCACAACGGGUGGAGCUUGCGGUUUAAUUGGAUUCAACGCCGGAAAUCUUACCGGGACCGACAGCAAUAUGAAGGCCAGGCUGAAGACUUUGCCGGAUUAGCUGAGAGGUGGUGCAUGGCCGUCGUCAGUUCGUACUGUGAAGCAUCCUGUUAAGUCAGGCAACGAGCGAGACCCACGCCCACAGUUGCCAGCGUACUCUCUGGAGUGACGGGUACACUGUGGGGACCGCCGCUGCUAAAGCGGAGGAAGGAAUGGGCAACGGUAGGUCAGUAUGCCCCGAAUAUCCCGGGCUACACGCGAGCUACAAUGGUUGGUACAAUGGGUAUCUACCCCGAAAGGGGACGGGAAUCUCCUAAAACCAAUCUUAGUUCGGAUUGAGGGCUGCAACUCGCCCUCA
Molecule: ribosomal RNA, 549 nt
Filed under: uncultured bacterium
Lineage: Bacteria
Description: bacterial SSU rRNA
Rfam family: Archaeal small subunit ribosomal RNA
Source: RNAcentral